UAAUACGUAGGGGGCGAGCGUUGUCCGAAGUUACUGGGCGUAAAGCGCGCGUAGGCGGUCCUUUAAGUCUGGUGUGAAAGGUUUGGGCUCAACCCGAACAGUGCACUGGAUACUGGGGGACUUGAGUUAGGGAGAGGAGAGUGGAAUUCCUGGUGUAGCGGUGAAAUGCGUAGAUAUCAGGAGGAACACCGAUGGCGAAGGCAGCUCUCUGGUCCUAUACUGACGCUGAGGUGCGAAAGCGUGGGGAGCGAACGGGAUUAGAUACCCCGGUAGUCCACGCCGUAAACGAUGAGUGCUAGGUGUCAGGGGUAUCGACCCCCCUGGUGCCGCCGUUAACACAUUAAGCACUCCGCCUGGGGAGUACGGCCGCAAGGUUG
RNAcentral lists this ribosomal RNA (377 nucleotides) under uncultured bacterium. RNAcentral describes it as "bacterial SSU rRNA". It matches the Rfam family "Bacterial small subunit ribosomal RNA", at positions 521 to 896 of the family's 1533-position model. The record is from RNAcentral.